This 253-nucleotide ribosomal RNA is filed under the name uncultured bacterium. RNAcentral describes it as "partial 16S ribosomal RNA". It matches the Rfam family "Bacterial small subunit ribosomal RNA", at positions 524 to 776 of the family's 1533-position model. The record is from RNAcentral.
UACGUAGGGGGCGAGCGUUGUCCGGAGUUACUGGGCGUAAAGGGCACGCAGGCGGUGCGGCGCGUUUCGCGUGACAGCGGAGGGCUUAACUCUCCGAGGAUGCGAAAGACGGCGGCACUUGAGGGCCAGAGAGGGACACGGAAUUCCGGGUGGAGUGGUGAAAUGCGUAGAGAUCCGGAGGAACACCCGUGGCGAAAGCGAGGUCCUGGACGUUUUCUGACGCUGAGACGCGAAAGCCAGGGGAGCGAACGGG